Molecule: ribosomal RNA, 301 nt
Filed under: uncultured bacterium
Lineage: Bacteria
Description: partial 16S ribosomal RNA
Rfam family: Bacterial small subunit ribosomal RNA
Source: RNAcentral
CAGCCGCCGCGGUAAUACGGAGGGAGCUAGCGUUGUUCGGAAUUACUGGGCGUAAAGCGCGCGUAGGCGGUUAUUCAAGUCAGAGGUGAAAUCCCCGGGCUCAACCUGGGAACUGCAUUUGUGACUGCAUGGCUAGAGUGUGGUAGAGGAUAGUGGAAUUUCCGGUGUAGCAGUGAAAUGCGUAGAGAUCGGAAGGAACAUCUGUGGCGAAGGCGACUAUCUGGGCCAACACUGACACUGAGGCACGAAAGCGUGGGGAGCAAACAGGAUUAGAUACCCCUGUAGUCCCUGUCUCUUAUAC